GAUCCUGGCUCAGAUUGAACGCUGGCGGCAGGCCUAACACAUGCAAGUCGAACGGUAACAGGAAGCAGCUUGCUGCUUCGCUGACGAGUGGCGGACGGGUGAGUAAUGUCUGGGAAACUGCCUGAUGGGAGGGGGAUAACUACUGGAAACGGUAGCUAAUACCGCAUAACGUCGCAAGACCAAAGGAGGGGGACCUUCGGGCCUCUUGCCAUCGGAUGUGCCAGAUGGGAUUAGCUAGG
This 239-nucleotide ribosomal RNA is filed under the name uncultured bacterium. Its description in RNAcentral is "partial 16S ribosomal RNA". It matches the Rfam family "Bacterial small subunit ribosomal RNA", at positions 15 to 249 of the family's 1533-position model. The record is from RNAcentral.